This 2720-nucleotide long non-coding RNA is filed under the name Gallus gallus (chicken). RNAcentral describes it as "lncRNA (ENSGALG00000052275.1)". Lineage: Eukaryota; Metazoa; Chordata; Aves; Galliformes; Phasianidae. The record is from RNAcentral.
CUCUCUUCAUGUUUGGUCCCUAAGCCUUUAGAAGCAACUAUUUGGGUGUGCUUAAUGAAAUGCUCUCCUCUUUGCUCAUGCUCUAGUCCCUUCCCUCCUUUCCUCUUGGUGCCUUCUCCAUUCCAGGCCAUGAGACCUGCUCCAGCAGCUCCAGGCCACCUGGAGUGCACAUCCAUUUCCCUGCUGGGGACAGUACUGGUGUCAGCUUCCACAGCCUAGCCCAGCAGUUUUCACACCCUGUUUGACCAUGCACCAGGAGGGAAGGAGCAUGAAACAGACUAUAUGUUAAGAAUGGUACCUCUACCCUGACAAACAACAGGAAAUCAGUGAUCUUCAUGGAGAUUUUCCUCUCUGGUGAUACUGGUGAUCAGUGUGCAUGAGAAACUGUGAGUAAAAGGGCCUUCUAACUGCAACAGUAGUGGGAUGAAUUAAAAAGGGAUUUGUUCUUUAACACACACAGGCAAUGAACAAUAGGAACAGUCUCCUUGUGCCUGUUUACUUCAUCUCAAAUCUUCAUGACAUUUUUGCUCUUUUUAUUAAUGCUGUCUGCUCUCUUUUUUUUCCACAAAUCAGUCUGAAUGCACAGGUAAUCCAAUAAUACUUGAGUGUUGAACUUCUGAACUGAAAGUGUGUUCUAAACCCUUGAGCUAGAUAUAAAAUGUUUCAUAUCAUUUCUCUAUGCAGAGAGGGCACAGCAGUCUGUACCAUGCAUACAGCUGAUUCUUUGCACUAAGACCAUUUCAUCACCAUUUCUUUUCCACAGAAGUUCAUUCUGUUGUAAUUAAAUAUACUAUAUUUCCAAUGCUAGAAGAAGUUCAGAGUUUUCAGUAUUGAUAUCUCAUAGCUCUCCACAGAACAAGCACUGUGGAAAAAAUCAGUGUCUGCACUUUCUUGUAAGACUCCCAUUUUAACCCAUCCUGUCUACUGCUCUGGCAGUGUGAAAAUCAUUUGCCCUCUGCUCCCUCCAACCCUCACCCUACAUAUCACUUUUCGUACUUAGCACUGUUUACAUGUUUAAUGGCCACAAAACCAACAUGGUUUUCUACUGCCCUAAUGGAAGACAAAUAGGAAAUAUGUCUGACAGGCCCUUUUCAGGUAUGUUUAGGGGCUGUAAAAAGGACAUUACUAGUGAAGUAACCUAAGAUCUCAUUUCAGACAGACUUAUCAUCAAAGAGCCAGAGCCUACAUUAAUGAUCCUGAAGCAAUCUUGAAUAAAGAAUUAUGACUGCUGGGGCUAGAAGAGCUGAAGCUUUUUUUUUUUUUUUUCAGACAUUUCUAAUCAACUGAAUUAAUACUUCAUACAUGUCUGUUAUGCUCCUUGUUCUCUGCAUGGUGGGUCUUUGGAUAAUUGAAUUAGGUUUGAUAUGUAUCUAACUCGCAUCAGGAGUAUGGAUGAAUGAAUAAGAAGUGUGUAAGUGCCAUAGUCAAUGAAUUUUGCCAAUAUUCCUACUCUUGACUGGACAAAAACACUACUAUAUUGCUUUGUGUAUGAUAACUUAAGUAUCUAUCAGCUGCUGAGCAAUCCUUCAUUUAACCUUUUACAUUAUUUUGAGUGAACAUCAACCAAUAGUACAUUUCUUUUCCUUUAUCACAAGUGACUUUAACCUGCUAAUCAGAUUCCACAUUUCCUUCUUGGAGAAAGAAUUGACCUUUCAGUGUAAUACAAUUUUAUCAUUCUGCAUCCUUUGAUAGAACCAGAACACAGAGUAAUCCCUCUGUGCAGACAUGACUCAUAUUCCAUGACAUGACUCUUCUUCUGAUGCUGCCAGAGAUCCUGGAACCUUACUUUGUAAGAAUAGGACAUAUGCCAUCACAAAGGAAUGAUAAGUAAUAAUCUUUUGCAAGCAGAACUGAAGAACAUACUAUCUCUCUUAAUCAGGUCUGGAUUUCCUGUGUUCACAGCCUUCUGAAUCCACAGGCACUCCUCCAGAGAUAUUUGUGUACUGUCACAGAACAUAUUUUGAAACAUUUGAAAGAUGUAUUUCAUUCUGAAAACUAUUUCUUUCAGUGAGGAAGUAACAGAAAGUAUAAACUUUAAUUAUAAGAUCAGUUCAUUCACUACUAGAGAAUGGAUUUCUCUCCCUGUCUUUGCAACUAAGUGAGCUCAACUUAGUUUCAAAUCUCUUCCUCUUAGGAAGGCUAUCAUUUUCUAACGGCUACAUAGGAAGCCAUUAGAAAAAAAAGCCUUGCCUUCUACACUAGGCAGGUUCAUUUCAUUCAAACUGGAUCCCUUCUCCCUUAGCGAAUUCCUCUGAUCUGGAACAUGUCUGUUUUAGAUGGGCUGACGCAUCAGAGUCCAGCUUCUGUUGAUAACAGUGUAGGGAAAUCAUGAUCUUAACCUAAAUGAAUCACUCAUGUAAAGAAUGUUCCUAUGUUAAAUGAUUAAAACGAUGUUAAAACCUUUUGUUAGGUCACAUUUUCCUCAUUGACACACAAAUGCAGUAGUGUUUCUAUACAGAGCUUUCCAAAUGAAUUAUGCUUUGGUUUAGAGAUCUGCAUUUCACAUCUUCUCAUACUCCUCACACUUAGAUACUUCUUGCUUUAAUAGGGCAAGUAACUCAAUAUAUUUUUACUGCCCAUAUUUUAAAAUUAAUGUAUUGACAGGGAACUAUGGCAGUGUCCGAGUUUUAAUGACUCUCGAAUUGGUGUUAACUCCCUUCUUCUUUUUUAUUUUAAUCUAUUGGUGGAAACCAUUACACUACAAUAAAAGUUUACUGUUG